This 497-nucleotide ribosomal RNA is filed under the name uncultured bacterium. RNAcentral describes it as "partial 16S ribosomal RNA". It matches the Rfam family "Bacterial small subunit ribosomal RNA", at positions 28 to 507 of the family's 1533-position model. The record is from RNAcentral.
GAUGAACGCUGGCGGCGUGCCUAAUACAUGCAAGUCGAGCGAACAGACGAGGAGCUUGCCCCUCUGACGUUAGCGGCGGACGGGUGAGUAACACGUGGAUAACCUACCUAUAAGACUGGGAUAACUUCGGGAAGCCGGAGCUAAUACCGGAUAAUAUAUUGAACCGCAUGGUUCAAUAGUGAAAGACGGUUUUGCUGUCACUUAUAGAUGGAUCCGCGCCGCAUUAGCUAGUUGGUAAGGUAACGGCUUACCAAGGCAACGAUGCGUAGCCGACCUGAGAGGGUGAUCGGCCACACUGGAACUGAGACACGGUCCAGACUCCUACGGGAGGCAGCAGUAGGGAAUCUUCCGCAAUGGGCGAAAGCCUGACGGAGCAACGCCGCGUGAGUGAUGAAGGUCUUCGGAUCGUAAAACUCUGUUAUUAGGGAAGAACAAAUGUGUAAGUAACUAUGCACGUCUUGACGGUACCUAAUCAGAAAGCCACGGCUAACUACGUG